Molecule: ribosomal RNA, 253 nt
Filed under: uncultured bacterium
Lineage: Bacteria
Description: partial 16S ribosomal RNA
Rfam family: Bacterial small subunit ribosomal RNA
Source: RNAcentral
UACAGAGGGUGCAAGCGUUAAUCGGAAUUACUGGGCGUAAAGCGUGCGUAGUCGGUUAUUUAAGUCGGAUGUGAAAUCCCCGGGCUCAACCUGGGAAUUGCAUUCGAUACUGGAUAGCUAGAGUUCGGCAGAGGGAAGCGGAAUUUCUGGUGUAGCGGUGAAAUGCGCAGAUAUCAGGAGGAACACCAAUGGCGAAAGCAGCUCGCUGGAACGGUACUGACGCUGAGGCGCGAAAGCGUGGGGAGCGAACAGG